RNAcentral lists this ribosomal RNA (263 nucleotides) under uncultured bacterium. RNAcentral describes it as "partial 16S ribosomal RNA". It matches the Rfam family "Bacterial small subunit ribosomal RNA", at positions 90 to 354 of the family's 1533-position model. The record is from RNAcentral.
CAUGAGUGGCGGACGGGUGAGUAACGCGUGGGCAACCUGGCCUGUACAGGGGGAUAACACUUAGAAAUAGGUGCUAAUACCGCAUAACGGGAGAAGCCGCAUGGCUUUUUCCUGAAAACUCCGGUGGUACAGGAUGGGCCCGCGUCUGAUUAGCCAGUUGGCAGGGUAACGGCCUACCAAAGCGACGAUCAGUAGCCGGCCUGAGAGGGUGGACGGCCACAUUGGGACUGAGACACGGCCCAAACUCCUACGGGAGGCAGCAG